RNAcentral lists this transfer RNA (66 nucleotides) under Tipula abdominalis. Its description in RNAcentral is "tRNA-Tyr". It matches the Rfam family "tRNA". From Rfam's summary of the family: Transfer RNA (tRNA) molecules are approximately 80 nucleotides in length. Their secondary structure includes four short double-helical elements and three loops (D, anti-codon, and T loops). The record is from RNAcentral. Lineage: Eukaryota; Metazoa; Arthropoda; Insecta; Diptera; Tipulidae.
GAUUAAAUGGCUGAAGUUUAGGCGGUAGAUUGUAAAUCUAUUAAUGAAGAUUAUCUUCUUUAAUCA